This is a non-coding RNA of Dipodomys ordii (Ord's kangaroo rat), 70 nucleotides long. The record is from Rfam. Lineage: Eukaryota; Metazoa; Chordata; Mammalia; Rodentia; Heteromyidae.
GGGAAUGUGGCUUAGUGGUAGAGUGCUUGUCUAGCAUGCAUGAAGCCCUGGGUUCGAUUCCUCAGUACCA